UCGGAUGCUGACUGCAAACUCCGCACCGAGGCAGGUACGCGUGGUUCUCGCCCGGCGCGAGGAUCCGGGACCCGCGGCGCUCCCGCUGAACUGACGCACUGGUUCCCCCAGGCUCGGGCUGUCCUCAGUCGUCCCUCUUCCUUCUCGGAGAGGAGCGCAGGGUGUGUGCGAACCUACACCGCGCUUCUCAGUGAUCACAGGUUUUAUUUUUGCCCUCGGAAUAUGGAAAGAAGGAAGGAGUUGAGAGGCUACAGAGGACUUCCCAAAUCGCUUUUUGCAAACCUGAUGCAACCCUACCAAUAAAAUGUAGUCUUCAU
This 317-nucleotide long non-coding RNA is filed under the name Cavia porcellus (domestic guinea pig). Its description in RNAcentral is "lncRNA (ENSCPOG00000040725.1)". The record is from RNAcentral. Lineage: Eukaryota; Metazoa; Chordata; Mammalia; Rodentia; Caviidae.